Long non-coding RNA from Haliotis rubra (blacklip abalone), 250 nucleotides. RefSeq lists it as uncharacterized. The record is from RefSeq and is a predicted model, not a curated record. The transcript is spliced from 3 exons. NCBI's taxonomy places the organism in Eukaryota, Metazoa, Mollusca, Gastropoda, Lepetellida, Haliotidae.
GGUGAACAAGCUGACGGAAGAAGUGCAGAACAAGUGGAAGACAGCCCAUGCCAUCAUGCAGGACACUGACAUCAACAUCAGCAGUCUGGGGCGCCGGGCCAGCUCCUCUGGGGUGGAGAUAGAUUCCCAGGUCCCCUACUUCAUUGGCUUAGACUACGACAUCCGCAGAACAGGCAUCAAGAUCUACAACAUUAAGGAAGGAACUACACACAUUGGGAGUAAAUGUUCCUUGACAGAUCAUGAGACAAUU